UUAAACUAAUCCAAAAAACUAAGAAUUCACUCAAAUAUCUCUCUCUGUCUCUCAGAGGACAGCGUCUUCAGUUUCUCCAGUUCUCUUCAGGAGAUACAGGAAAUGGACUUUGACCCCAUAAGUGAAGGACAGGUCAGAGGUCAUGACUGGCAGAAGUCGAAAAAGGGCGCCAGGAGGAGGGAUCGGGGGGAGGAGGUGAGGCAGAGCGGGACUGAACAGGACAGCACCUGUUCACCUGGACAGAUCCGUAUGUGUGCAGGUAGGACCGCCUUCAGACCGAACUCACCACGCCAUGAUGUCACAGCCAUCAGCAUUGUGUCAUCGUAAACAGGGCGAGACUCAUCAGCGUCAGAUUGGUUCCAGACAGAGUGGAUGGAAGUGAAUGUUGUGUUGGGUUUUGGGAUCAAUCAUCUCCCUCUGACAUCACCCUGACAUCCCUGUGACAUCACAA
Gasterosteus aculeatus aculeatus (three-spined stickleback) is the source of this 451-nucleotide non-coding RNA. The record is from RefSeq and is a predicted model, not a curated record. NCBI's taxonomy places the organism in Eukaryota, Metazoa, Chordata, Actinopteri, Perciformes, Gasterosteidae.